Molecule: long non-coding RNA, 361 nt
Filed under: Ananas comosus (pineapple)
Lineage: Eukaryota; Viridiplantae; Streptophyta; Magnoliopsida; Poales; Bromeliaceae
Description: long non-coding RNA (ACOM_LNC014454)
Source: RNAcentral
AUAUAUAUAUAUAUAGAGAGAGAGAGAGAGAGAGAGGGAGAGAGAGAGAGAGAGAGAAUUGAGCUUCUAUGCUUUUAAAUGAUUUGUGCUAUUAAGUUUUGUACCUUAGAUUAAAAAAUAUGCAGUUAUAUAUGAGUCCGGCUCCUAUGCUAUUAAUAGCACGAAGCACUUAGUGCUACUAAGUUUUCCAUCGCUAGAUCUAUCCUUUUGAUCAUUUUCAUUCGUUAGAUCAUACUAUUUAAUCAACCAUCCACUCAACCCUAGGGGGUCCACAUCAUCCUAGCCGCACAUUUCUUAAUCCAAUGGUCAAAAACUUGGUAGCACUAUAUAUAUAUAUAUAUAUUCAGAAAGUGACCUCUUC